Molecule: ribosomal RNA, 274 nt
Filed under: uncultured bacterium
Lineage: Bacteria
Description: partial 16S ribosomal RNA
Rfam family: Bacterial small subunit ribosomal RNA
Source: RNAcentral
AUACGGAGGGUGCAAGCGUUACUCGGAAUCACUGGGCGUAAAGCGCGCGCAGGCGGGCUGAUAAGUUGGAUGUGAAAGCCUACGGCUCAACCGUAGAACUGCAUCCAAAACUGUCAGUCUAGAGUGUGGGAGAGGAAGAUGGAAUUAGUUGUGUAGGGGUAAAAUCCGUAGAGAUAACUAGGAAUACCAAAAGCGAAGGCAAUCUUCUGGAACACUACUGACGCUGAGGCGCGAAGGCGUGGGGAGCAAACAGGAGUAGAUACCCCUGUAGUCC